This 274-nucleotide ribosomal RNA is filed under the name uncultured bacterium. Its description in RNAcentral is "partial 16S ribosomal RNA". It matches the Rfam family "Bacterial small subunit ribosomal RNA", at positions 523 to 796 of the family's 1533-position model. The record is from RNAcentral.
AUACAGAGGGUGCAAGCGUUAAUCGGAAUUACUGGGCGUAAAGCGCGCGUAGGCGGUUUGAUCAGUCGGAUGUGAAAGCCCCGGGCUUAACCUGGGAAUUGCAUUCGAUACUGUCAAGCUAGAGUGUGGUAGAGGGUAGUGGAAUUCCAGGUGUAGCGGUGAAAUGCGUAGAUAUCUGGAGGAACAUCAGUGGCGAAGGCGGCUACCUGGACCAACACUGACGCUGAGGUGCGAAAGCGUGGGGAGCAAACAGGAUUAGAAACCCCGGUAGUCC